RNAcentral lists this transfer RNA (75 nucleotides) under Clostridia bacterium. Its description in RNAcentral is "tRNA-Thr". It matches the Rfam family "tRNA". Rfam says of the family: Transfer RNA (tRNA) molecules are approximately 80 nucleotides in length. Lineage: Bacteria; Bacillati; Bacillota; Clostridia. The record is from RNAcentral.
GCUGGUGUAGCACAGGGGAAGUGCAGCUGAUUCGUAAUCAGCAGGUCGUGAGUUCAAAUCUCACCACCAGCUCCA